GUGUCAGCAGCCGCGGUAAUACGUAGGGGGCGAGCGUUGUCCGGAAUCAUUGGGCGUAAAGAGCGUGUAGGCGGCUUGGCAAGUCUGACGUGAAAGCCCGCGGCUCAACCGCGGAUUGUCGUUGGAAACUGCCUCGCUAGAGUCCGGAAGAGGAGAGCGGAAUUCCUGGUGUAGCGGUGGAAUGCGCAGAUAUCAGGAAGAACACCCGUGGCGAAGGCGGCUCUCUGGGACGGUACUGACGCUGAGACGCGAAAGCGUGGGGAGCGAACAGGAUUAGAAACCCUCGUAGUCC
RNAcentral lists this ribosomal RNA (292 nucleotides) under uncultured bacterium. RNAcentral describes it as "partial 16S ribosomal RNA". It matches the Rfam family "Bacterial small subunit ribosomal RNA", at positions 505 to 796 of the family's 1533-position model. The record is from RNAcentral.